This 530-nucleotide ribosomal RNA is filed under the name uncultured bacterium. RNAcentral describes it as "partial 16S ribosomal RNA". It matches the Rfam family "Bacterial small subunit ribosomal RNA", at positions 355 to 895 of the family's 1533-position model. The record is from RNAcentral.
UGGGGAAUAUUGCACAAUGGGCGAAAGCCUGAUGCAGCAACGCCGCGUGAGGGACGACGGCCUUCGGGUUGUAAACCUCUUUUAGCAAGGAAGAAGCGAAAGUGACGGUACUUGCAGAAAAAGCGCCGGCUAACUACGUGCCAGCAGCCGCGGUAAUACGUAGGGCGCAAGCGUUAUCCGGAAUUAUUGGGCGUAAAGAGCUCGUAGGCGGUUUGUCGCGUCUGCUGUGAAAACCCGAGGCUCAACCUCGGGCCUGCAGUGGGUACGGGCAGACUAGAGUGCGGUAGGGGAGAUUGGAACUCCUGGUGUAGCGGUGGAAUGCGCAGAUAUCAGGAAGAACACCGAUGGCGAAGGCAGAUCUCUGGGCCGUAACUGACGCUGAGGAGCGAAAAGGGUGGGGAGCAAAACAGGCUUAGAUACCCUGGUAGUCCACCCCGUAAACGUUGGAACUAGUUGUGGGUCCAUUCCACGGAUUCCGUGACGCAGCUAACGCAUUAAGUUCCCCGCCUGGGGAGUACGGCCGCAAGGCU